GAUGAACGCUGGCGGCGUGCCUAAUACAUGCCAGUCGAGCGAACGGACGAGAAGCUUGCUUCUCUGAUGUUAGCGGCGGACGGGUGAGUAACACGUGGAUAACCUACCUAUAAGACUGGGAUAACUUCGGGAAACCGGAGCUAAUACCGGAUAAUAUUUUGAACGGCAUGGUUCAAAAGUGAAAGACGGUCUUGCUGUCACUUAUAGAUGGAUCCGCGCUGCAUUAGCUAGUUGGUAAGGUAACGGCUUACCAAGGCAACGAUGCAUAGCCGACCUGAGAGGGUGAUCGGCCACACUGGAACUGAGACACGGUCCAGACUCCUACGGGAGGCAGCAGUAGGGAAUCUUCCACAAUGGGCGAAAGCCUGACGGAGCAACGCCGCGUGAGUGAUGAAGGUCUUCGGAUCGUAAAACUCUGUUAUUAGGGAAGAACAUAUGUGUAAGUAACUGUGCACAUCUUGACGGUACCUAAUCAGAAAGCCACGGCUAACUACGUG
Molecule: ribosomal RNA, 497 nt
Filed under: uncultured bacterium
Lineage: Bacteria
Description: partial 16S ribosomal RNA
Rfam family: Bacterial small subunit ribosomal RNA
Source: RNAcentral